Long non-coding RNA from Corythoichthys intestinalis (scribbled pipefish), 312 nucleotides. RefSeq lists it as uncharacterized. The record is from RefSeq and is a predicted model, not a curated record. NCBI's taxonomy places the organism in Eukaryota, Metazoa, Chordata, Actinopteri, Syngnathiformes, Syngnathidae. The transcript has 3 exons.
GUGGAACAAGGAAAGAAAGCGCGAAUACACGCAGUUGAGAGGAGCGGUGCUGGAAGACAGUUGUCAAUCAGUACACUGAGAAGCCUCGCGUUGAAACAAAAUACAGUGUAAUACAGUGAUGGUGUUCGACAUGCGCCCAAGGAUGACCGCGCUACGCAAUAAUUGAAACGGCGGUGCAGCAGGGGAGAGUUUGUUGCUUGUCGUGUGCGUACGGGCGAGCGCGGCACAUUAGAAGUGUGGUAGGUGAAUCGUUCAAGUGAUGUGCACUAUUUUUGUUAGCUUUGGGGAUCUCUAGUGGAGUGGUGAGUGACU